Long non-coding RNA from Stegodyphus dumicola, 272 nucleotides. The record is from RefSeq and is a predicted model, not a curated record. NCBI's taxonomy places the organism in Eukaryota, Metazoa, Arthropoda, Arachnida, Araneae, Eresidae.
UUUUUAUUGUGGGACUUAUCAAUAAAAACAGGUUAAACACUCAAAAAAAUAUGUCGAAUCCACUGAAACGAGAAAGAAAUGUGGGAAGAUAAUAAGUCAAGAUAGAUUAAAUAGUUUAGCAAUUAUGUCGAUUGAAAGUGAAGACUCAAGGAAAUUAGAUUUUCAAACAAUUUUAGAAGAAAUUACAGAACAAAAACUUAGAAAUAUGUACAUUCAUGUAUUCAUAUUCGGUGAUGUAAAUUUAUAUUCAAUAAAUGUUUCUGUAUUUUGAA